GCGGGCGCUGGCGGAGGCCGGCGCUGGCGCCUUCGACGCCCCGGUCUCGCGCUACAUGACCGCCAAGGUCACCACCUGCACCCGCGCCA
RNAcentral lists this transfer RNA (89 nucleotides) under Methylobacterium haplocladii. Its description in RNAcentral is "tRNA-Arg". The record is from RNAcentral. Lineage: Bacteria; Pseudomonadati; Pseudomonadota; Alphaproteobacteria; Hyphomicrobiales; Methylobacteriaceae.